GGUUAAGUGACUAAGCGUACACGGUGGAUGCCUUGGCAAUCAGAGGCGAAGAAGGACGUGCUAAUCUGCGAUAAGCUUGGAAGAGUUGAUAAGAAACGUGAUAAUUCCAAGAUUUCCGAAUGGGGAAACCCAAUAGGUGAAGAACCUAUUAUCAAUGACUGAAUACAUAGGUCAUUGAAGCGAACCGGGAGAACUGAAACAUCUAAGUACCCCGAGGAAAAGAAAUCAACCGAGAUUCUGUGAGUAGCGGCGAGCGAAAGUGGAAGAGCCAGUUAGUUUUAGCAUUUGUAUUAAGAGAAUGAGUUGGGAAACUCAAUCA
This 319-nucleotide ribosomal RNA is filed under the name Pasteurella atlantica. RNAcentral describes it as "partial 23S ribosomal RNA". It matches the Rfam family "Bacterial large subunit ribosomal RNA", at positions 1 to 357 of the family's 2925-position model. Lineage: Bacteria; Pseudomonadati; Pseudomonadota; Gammaproteobacteria; Pasteurellales; Pasteurellaceae. The record is from RNAcentral.